ACUCUCCAGAUCCCUUCCCCAUCAGAUCUAAACAGUGGUCUGAGUGGCUGUAACAAAGGUGGGAAAGUAAGAAAGGAAAAAAAAGUUACAUCUCCUAAAGUAAGGCUUAGAAACUAGA
Molecule: small nucleolar RNA, 118 nt
Filed under: Echinops telfairi (small Madagascar hedgehog)
Lineage: Eukaryota; Metazoa; Chordata; Mammalia; Afrosoricida; Tenrecidae
Description: Small nucleolar RNA SNORA61 (ENSETEG00000025816.1)
Source: RNAcentral